GACGAACGCUGGCGGCGUGCUUAACACAUGCAAGUCGAACGGAAAGGCCCUGCUUUUGUGGGGUGCUCGAGUGGCGAACGGGUGAGUAACACGUGAGUAACCUGCCCUUGACUUUGGGAUAACUUCAGGAAACUGGGGCUAAUACCGGAUAGGAGCUCCUGCUGCAUGGUGGGGGUUGGAAAGUUUCGGCGGUUGGGGAUGGACUCGCGGCUUAUCAGCUUGUUGGUGGGGUAGUGGCUUACCAAGGCUUUGACGGGUAGCCGGCCUGAGAGGGUGACCGGCGACAUUGGGACUGAGAGACGGCCCAGACUCCUACGGGAGGCAGCAGUGGGGAAUAUUGCAGAAUGGGCGGAAGCCUGAUGCAGAAACGCUGCGUGCGGGAUGACGGCCUUCGGGUUGUAAACCGCUUUCGCCUGUGACGAAGCGUGAGUGACGGUAAUGGGUAAAGAAGCACCGGCUAACUACGUG
This 468-nucleotide ribosomal RNA is filed under the name uncultured bacterium. Its description in RNAcentral is "partial 16S ribosomal RNA". It matches the Rfam family "Bacterial small subunit ribosomal RNA", at positions 28 to 507 of the family's 1533-position model. The record is from RNAcentral.